RNAcentral lists this non-coding RNA (66 nucleotides) under Streptomyces sp. RNAcentral also lists the same sequence under 1 other name. Lineage: Bacteria; Bacillati; Actinomycetota; Actinomycetes; Kitasatosporales; Streptomycetaceae. The record is from RNAcentral.
CCGGUGGCGGCAUUUCCGCCACCCCGGACGAGCGCGUCGUACCCGGUGACGACAAGACGGCGCAGU